GUAGUCAUGGCUGAGUGGUUAAGGUGAUGGACUAGAAAUCCAUUGGGGUCUCCCUGCGCAGGUUCAAAUCCUGCCGACUACG
Phrynosoma platyrhinos (Desert horned lizard) is the source of this 82-nucleotide non-coding RNA. The record is from the annotation of a GenBank genome assembly. Lineage: Eukaryota; Metazoa; Chordata; Lepidosauria; Squamata; Phrynosomatidae.